CCAACGGCUCUCAUAAGAGCCACCGAUAAAGUCAGUCCAGAAUAUU
Anopheles epiroticus is the source of this 46-nucleotide non-coding RNA. The record is from Rfam. NCBI's taxonomy places the organism in Eukaryota, Metazoa, Arthropoda, Insecta, Diptera, Culicidae.